This 441-nucleotide ribosomal RNA is filed under the name uncultured bacterium. RNAcentral's name for it is "partial 16S ribosomal RNA". It matches the Rfam family "Bacterial small subunit ribosomal RNA", at positions 338 to 795 of the family's 1533-position model. The record is from RNAcentral.
CCUACGGGUGGCAGCAGUGGGGAAUAUUGCACAAUGGGGGAAACCCUGAUGCAGCGACGCCGCGUGAGCGAGGAAGUAUUUCGGUAUGUAAAGCUCUAUCAGCAGGGACGAAAAAAGACGGUACCUGACUAAGAAGCCCCGGCUAACUACGUGCCAGCAGCCGCGGUAAUACGUAGGGGGCAAGCGUUAUCCGGAUUUACUGGGUGUAACGGGAGCGUAGACGGCAAGGCUAGCCAGACGUGAAAGGGCAGGGCUCAACCCUGGACAAGCUUUUGGAACUGUGGUGCUAGAGUGCAGGAGAAGUAAGUGGAAUGCCUAGUGUAGCGGUGAAAUGCGUAGAUAUUAGGAAGAACACCAGUUGCGAAGGCGGCGUACUGGAGUCAAACUGACGUUGAGGCUCGAAAGCGUGGGGAGCGAACAGGAUUAGAUACCCGAGUAGUC